RNAcentral lists this ribosomal RNA (810 nucleotides) under Triticum aestivum (bread wheat). Its description in RNAcentral is "partial small subunit ribosomal RNA". The record is from RNAcentral. Lineage: Eukaryota; Viridiplantae; Streptophyta; Magnoliopsida; Poales; Poaceae.
AUGCCUUCCUGGAACGACGAGGAAACGAGCUCGGAGGAGGACUGCCAGGUCGUCAGCAUGGACAUGGGACUUAUGGAGGAACCAGACACCACUGUGGAGCCCCUUUUUUGUGGCCAACUUGAGCUUGCUCAUCCCAAGUGCAUUCUGCAUCAAAUGAGGCCUAUUAAGCGUGUUGCUUUUGAAGGGCAUUUAACAGGAAGGCGUUUCUAUGGCUGCCCAGUCCAGGAAAAUGGUGUGAAUUGUGGUGUUGUAGAGUGGGUUGAUGGGCCUUGGCCAACUGUUCUUCAGAGAUGUUUGUGCAAGCUAUGGGAGAUGUUCCAUGAGCAGAACCUUGGAAGGAUACAUGACAAGGAGAAGUUUGAGAAGGAGUUGGCCAGGCUUAAGAGUGAACAUGAAAGGGAGUUGGCCAAGCUUAGGACUGAAAAUGACAAGCUUUGCAUUGAGUACACCAAGCUUGUUGAUGAUGUAUCCAAGAUGUUUGAUUGGCAGGAUGGUAGGGUGGACAAGCAGGUGUACCAGAAACAAGUGGAGGAGGGAGAACUUGAGAAGAAGAAGAAGGAGCUAGAGGAGAAAGCCAUGUUGGAGGUGCAGAUGGAAAAGCUUAAACUUGCAAAAGAGCAGAGGUGCAUUUUGCAGAGCCAAGCUGAUAUCAUCAAGAACACCAGGAAGGCUAUGAAGGAUGUUGAAGUUGACAGAGAUGUUCUUAAGAAGGAGAAGGAAAAGCUUGAGCUUGUUGUUGCUGAGCUGCUGAAAGAAGGGUAUGGCAACAAGGAGAAGUUAGAGCAAAUCAAGGCCAUCCUUGAGUCUUGA